AUUGAACGCUGGCGGCAGGCUUAACACAUGCAAGUCGAGCGGGGUGAUGGUGCUUGCACUAUCACUUAGCGGCGGACGGGUGAGUAAUGCUUAGGAAUCUGCCUAUUAGUGGGGGACGACAUCUCGAAAGGGAUGCUAAUACCGCAUACGUCCUACGGGAGAAAGCAGGGGAUCACUUGUGACCUUGCGCUAAUAGAUGAGCCUAAGUCGGAUUAGCUAGUUGGUGGGGUAAAGGCCCACCAAGGCGACGAUCUGUAGCGGGUCUGAGAGGAUGAUCCGCCACACUGGGACUGAGACACGGCCCAGACUCCUACGGGAGGCAGCAGUGGGGAAUAUUGGACAAUGGGGGGAACCCUGAUCCAGCCAUGCCGCGUGUGAAGAAGGCCUUAUGGUUGUAAAGCACUUUAAGCGAGGAGGAGGCUCUUUUGGUUAAUACCCAAGAUGAGUGGACGUUACUCGCAGAAUAAGCACCGGCUAACUCUGUGCCAGCAGCCGCCGUAA
Molecule: ribosomal RNA, 501 nt
Filed under: uncultured bacterium
Lineage: Bacteria
Description: partial 16S ribosomal RNA
Rfam family: Bacterial small subunit ribosomal RNA
Source: RNAcentral